RNAcentral lists this ribosomal RNA (915 nucleotides) under uncultured bacterium. RNAcentral's name for it is "bacterial SSU rRNA". It matches the Rfam family "Bacterial small subunit ribosomal RNA", at positions 33 to 932 of the family's 1533-position model. The record is from RNAcentral.
ACGCUGGCGGCGUGCCUAAUACAUGCAAGUAGAACGCUGAAGGGGGAGCUUGCUUCUCCGGAUGAGUUGCGAACGGGUGAGUAACGCGUAGGUAACCUGCCUGGUAGCGGGGGAUAACUAUUGGAAACGAUAGCUAAUACCGCAUAAGAGUAGAUGUUGCAUGACAUUUGCUUAAAAGGUGCAAUUGCAUCACUACCAGAUGGACCUGCGUUGUGUUAGCUAGUUGGUGGGGUAACGGCUCACCAAGGCGACGAUACAUAGCCGACCUGAGAGGGUGAUCGGCCACACUGGGACAGAGACACGGCCCAGACUCCUACGGGAGGCAGCAGUAGGGAAUCUUCGGCAAUGGACGGAAGUCUGACCGAGCAACGCCGCGCGAGUGAAGAAGGUUUUCGGAUCGUAAAGCUCUGUUGUAAGAGAAGAACGAGUGUGAGAGUGGAAAGUUCACACUGUGACGGUAUCUUACCAGAAAGGGACGGCUAACUACGUGCCAGCAGCCGCGGUAAUACGUAGGUCCCGAGCGUUGUCCGGAUUUAUUGGGCGUAAAGCGAGCGCAGGCGGUUAGAUAAGUCUGAAGUUAAAGGCUGUGGCUUAACCAUAGUACGCUUUGGAAACUGUUUAACUUGAGUGCAAGAGGGGAGAGUGGAAUUCCAUGUGUAGCGGUGAAAUGCGUAGAUAUAUGGAGGAACACCGGUGGCGAAAGCGGCUCUCUGGCUUGUAACUGACGCUGAGGCUCGAAAGCGUGGGGAGCAAACAGGAUUAGAUACCCUGGUAGUCCACGCCGUAAACGAUGAGUGCUAGGUGUUAGACCCUUUCCGGGGUUUAGUGCCGCAGCUAACGCAUUAAGCACUCCGCCUGGGGAGUACGACCGCAAGGUUGAAACUCAAAGGAAUUGACGGGGGCCCGCACAAGCGG